AUGGAGGCUAGAAAUAUUCAAAUGUGCCAUGAAGUGCUGCACGAUGAACAGAUGUUACCUUCGGCUCUACCAUGCCUUAUGUAUGGUGAAAAAACUACAACCACUGGUUAAAACAGUGCAGAGUUCAAAACACCUGUAUGGCCCAGGAUGCUGGAGUUUGCAUUUACCAAAAAAUCAUUCAAAAGUAAUGCACCCAAAUGUCAAGUCACUGAACAGGAUUCAGUGUGAUUUUUUGCAAAAAAUGGCUGCAUGCAGACUAUGCUGGCAAUCAGCCUUGACGGUCACAGAGGCUACAACAUUCUGCUGUGGAUG
This is a long non-coding RNA of Clarias gariepinus (North African catfish), 312 nucleotides long. RefSeq lists it as uncharacterized. NCBI's taxonomy places the organism in Eukaryota, Metazoa, Chordata, Actinopteri, Siluriformes, Clariidae. The record is from RefSeq and is a predicted model, not a curated record. The transcript has 3 exons.